GACGUAGGGUGCAAGCGUUGUCCGGAUUUACUGGGCGUAAAGAGCGCGUAGGCGGCUCGUUAAGUGUGAAGCUAAAUCUCCAGGCUCAACCUGGAAACUAUUUCGCAUACUGGCGGGCUGGAGUGAUGCAGAGGUGGAUAGAAUUCCCGGUGUAGCGGUGAAAUGCGUUGAUAUCGGGAAGAACACCAAAGGCGAAGGCACCCUGCUGGGCCGAUAUUGACACUGACAGACGAA
This 234-nucleotide ribosomal RNA is filed under the name uncultured prokaryote. RNAcentral describes it as "partial 16S ribosomal RNA". It matches the Rfam family "Bacterial small subunit ribosomal RNA", at positions 524 to 757 of the family's 1533-position model. The record is from RNAcentral.